Molecule: ribosomal RNA, 1881 nt
Filed under: Clostridioides difficile
Lineage: Bacteria; Bacillati; Bacillota; Clostridia; Peptostreptococcales; Peptostreptococcaceae
Description: bacterial LSU rRNA
Rfam family: Bacterial large subunit ribosomal RNA
Source: RNAcentral
AUCGUCAGCUAAGGUCCCUAAAUUGUAAGUUAAGUGGUAAAGGAUGUGGGAUUGCACAGACAACCAGGAUGUUGGCUUAGAAGCAGCCACUCAUUCCAAAGAGUGCGUAAUAGCUCACUGGUCGAGUGAUCCUGCGCCGAAGAUUUCCGGGGCUAAAACUUACUACCGAAGCUACGGCAUCCAGUAAAUGAUGGGUAGGGGAGCUUCCCAUACGGGUUGAAGCAUGACCGUAAGGACAUGUGGACAGUAUGGGGAGUGAGAAUGUUGGCAUGAGUAGCGAGAUGUGGGGUGAGAAUCCCACAGGCCGUAAACCCAAGGUUUCCAGGGGAAGGUUCGUCCGCCCUGGGUUAGUCGGGACCUAAGCUGAGGCCGAAAGGCGUAGGUGAUGGAUAACAGGUUGAUAUUCCUGUACUACCGAUAACCGUUUGAGAGAAGGGAUGACACAGUAGGAUAAGCUAAGCACACUGUUGGUUAUGUGUGCCCAAGCAUUGAGGCAGUCAAAGCAGGCAAAUCCGCUUUGAUAAUGCUGGGAUGUGAUGGGGAGCGAAAUUUAGUAGCGAAGUAGCUGAUUUCACACUGUCAAGAAAAGUCUCUAUCGAGGUUAAAGGUACCCGUACCGCAAACCGACACAGGUGGGUGAGGAGAGUAUCCUAAGGCCAGCGAGAGAACUGUUGUUAAGGAACUCGGCAAAAUGACCCCGUAACUUAGGGAUAAGGGGUGCCACCAUCAGGUGGCCGCAGAGAAUAGGCCCAAGCGACUGUUUACCAAAAACAUAGGUUUCUGCUAAGUCGCAAGACGAUGUAUAGGAGCUGACGCCUGCCCGGUGCUGGAAGGUUAAGGGGAUCUGUUAGAGCAAUCGAAGCAGUGAACUUAAGCCCCAGUAAACGGCGGCCGUAACUAUAACGGUCCUAAGGUAGCGAAAUUCCUUGUCGGGUAAGUUCCGACCCGCACGAAAGGCGUAACGAUUUGGGCACUGUCUCAACAACAGACUCGGUGAAAUUGUAAUUCCGGUGAAGAUGCCGGAUACCUGCGACAGGACGGAAAGACCCCAUGGAGCUUUACUGUAGCUUGACAUUGGGUCUUGGUACUACAUGUACAGGAUAGGUGGGAGGCUUUGAAACCAGGACGCCAGUUUUGGCGGAGCCAUCCUUGGGAUACCACCCUUGUAGUACUGGGACUCUAACCAUAGGCCAUGAAUCUGGUCUUGGGACACUGUCAGGUGGGCAGUUUGACUGGGGCGGUCGCCUCCCAAAAGGUAACGGAGGCGCUCAAAGGUUCUCUCAGUACGGUCGGAAAUCGUACGUAGAGUGUAAAGGCAAAAGAGAGCUUGAUUGCAAGACAUACAGGUCGAGCAAGGAUGAAAAUCGGACUUAGUGAUCCGGUGGUUCUGCGUGGAAGGGCCAUCGCUCAACGGAUAAAAGCUACCCUGGGGAUAACAGGCUUAUCUCCCCCAAGAGUCCACAUCGACGGGGAGGUUUGGCACCUCGAUGUCGGCUCAUCACAUCCUGGGGCUGUAGUAGGUCCCAAGGGUUGGGCUGUUCGCCCAUUAAAGUGGUACGCGAGCUGGGUUCAGAACGUCGUGAGACAGUUCGGUCCCUAUCCGUCGCAGGCGUAGGAAAUUUGAGAAGACCUGUCCUUAGUACGAGAGGACCGGGAUGGACGUACCUCUGGUGUACCAGUUGUCCUGCCAAGGGCAUGGCUGGGUAGCUAUGUACGGAAUGGAUAAGCGCUGAAAGCAUCUAAGCGCGAAGCCAACUUCAAGAUAAGAUUUCCCACCGCAAGGGUAAGACCCCAGAAAGACUAUCUGGUUGAUAGGUCGAAGGUGUAAGUGCAGCAAUGUAUUUAGCUUAUCGAUACUAAUAGGUCGAGGACUUGACCAAU